CGGGGCGUAGCGCAGUUUGGUAGCGCGCCUGCUUUGGGAGCAGGAUGUCGCAGGUUCAAAUCCUGUCGCCCCGACCA
Molecule: transfer RNA, 77 nt
Filed under: Candidatus Aveggerthella excrementigallinarum
Lineage: Bacteria; Bacillati; Actinomycetota; Coriobacteriia; Eggerthellales; Eggerthellaceae
Description: tRNA-Pro
Rfam family: tRNA
About the family: Transfer RNA (tRNA) molecules are approximately 80 nucleotides in length.
Source: RNAcentral